UUUGAAGUAUUUUUGACAAUAGGUUUUGCGACGGAAGCAGAAGUAUUGCUGCUAUAAUCAUCUAUAGGUGGAGGCAACAUACUCCCUGAACGCCGCAGCAUAUUGUUUGUUGCACCAGUAAUUUGUUGAACUCUACUCCUGGUGUAUGCUGAUAUUAUCUCAUCCUUUGUAAAACUGUCUUCUUGAGAACCUAUCUCAUGCAAGUAUAGACAAUCUGGAUUGGU
This 224-nucleotide unclassified non-coding RNA is filed under the name Hevea brasiliensis (rubber tree). The record is from RNAcentral. Lineage: Eukaryota; Viridiplantae; Streptophyta; Magnoliopsida; Malpighiales; Euphorbiaceae.